GAUGGAGUCGACGACUCUUCGGAGUUAGUGGCGGACGGGUGAGUAACACGUGGGAACGUGCCUUUAGGUUCGGAAUAACUCAGGGAAACUUGUGCUAAUACCGAAUGUGCCCUUCGGGGGAAAGAUUUAUCGCCUUUAGAGCGGCCCGCGUCUGAUUAGCUAGUUGGUGAGGUAAAGGCUCACCAAGGCGACGAUCAGUAGCUGGUCUGAGAGGAUGAUCAGCCACAUUGGGACUGAGACACGGCCCAAACUCCUACGGGAGGCAGCAGUGGGGAAUCUUGCGCAAUGGGCGAAAGCCUGACGCAGCCAUGCCGCGUGAAUGAUGAAGGUCUUAGGAUUGUAAAAUUCUUUCACCGGGGACGAUAAUGACGGUACCCGGAGAAGAAGCCCCGGCUAACUUCGUGCCAGCAGCCGCGGUAAUACGAAGGGGGCUAGCGUUGCUCGGAAUUACUGGGCGUAAAGGGAGCGUAGGCGGACAUUUAAGUCAGGGGUGAAAUCCCGGGGCUCAACCUCGGAAUUGCCUUUGAUACUGGGUGUCUUGAGUAUGAGAGAGGUGUGUGGAACUCCGAGUGUAGAGGUGAAAUUCGUAGAUAUUCGGAAGAACACCAGUGGCGAAGGCGACACACUGGCUCAUUACUGACGCUGAGGCUCGAAAGCGUGGGGAGCAAACAGGAUUAGAUACCCUGGUAGUCCACGCCGUAAACGAUGAUUGCUAGUUGU
This 720-nucleotide ribosomal RNA is filed under the name alpha proteobacterium GM52. RNAcentral describes it as "bacterial SSU rRNA". It matches the Rfam family "Bacterial small subunit ribosomal RNA", at positions 68 to 823 of the family's 1533-position model. The record is from RNAcentral. Lineage: Bacteria; Pseudomonadati; Pseudomonadota; Alphaproteobacteria.